AGAGAAUCACUUGAACCCGGGAGGCAGAGGUUGCAGUGAGCUAAGAUUGUGCCACUGCACACUGCACUCUAGCCUGGGUGACAGAG
RNAcentral lists this microRNA precursor (86 nucleotides) under Homo sapiens (human). Its description in RNAcentral is "partial ncRNA". The record is from RNAcentral. Lineage: Eukaryota; Metazoa; Chordata; Mammalia; Primates; Hominidae.